AAAUAAGUCAACAUGACGGAAAUGGUCAAUUGACCCCUAAGGAGUUAUUGUCUUUAUAGUCAAUUUUUAACAAUUUUCAUAAAAUUUGUAAAUUAACACUAACAUUUUCCACUGAAACUACUAGGCCAAGUUCAUUAUAGAUAGAAAUAAUUGUAAGCAGCAAGAAUGUUCAGGAAAGUAAGAUGUACAAACACAUCACCAUCACCAAAACACAAUUUUGUCAUGAAUCCAUCUG
This 235-nucleotide long non-coding RNA is filed under the name Mytilus galloprovincialis (Mediterranean mussel). The record is from RNAcentral. Lineage: Eukaryota; Metazoa; Mollusca; Bivalvia; Mytilida; Mytilidae.